UUUCCGUAGGUGAACCUGCGGAAGGAUCAUUAUCGAAAUACGUAUUUAGGGUUCCGUUCUAUCCCAUUGUUUUAUUUACGCUGUUGCUUCCACUGGAUGAGUUUCAAUACCUUGUGUUUGAAAAACUUUGUCUUGUGUAAGAUUCAUUCACAGCCAUCUAGUGAGAAGAAUAUUUACAAAAACUUGUUAAAAAGCAAUUCUCUGAAUAUUUUACGCCAAUGAAAUAAAACUUUCGACAACGGAUCUCUAGGCUCUUGCGUCGAUGAACAACACAGCAUA
This 279-nucleotide unclassified non-coding RNA is filed under the name plant metagenome. RNAcentral's name for it is "partial contains small subunit ribosomal RNA, internal transcribed spacer 1, and 5.8S ribosomal RNA". The record is from RNAcentral.